GGACUGAUUAGAAGUUUCUUUAAUAUCUCUGAUAGGACGUAGUAGUACUUCAGGCUUUUAUUUUUAUUUUUUUUUUUAUUUUUAAUUCUCAUUUUUUUUAGGCACUGCUUACGAUGGCUACCGAUGAACAAAUUCGUGCUCUCCAGGAGCAGCUGCAACAGCUGUUGGACGCUCAAGCUGCUAAAGAAGCUCAGAAUCAGCCUCCGAUUGCAGAGAUGUUCGUUCCUCGGUAUAUUUACCAGGAACCUCCACGUAUUAAUGCCAAUAAUUUUGAGCUGAAGACUGGUUUGAUCAC
RNAcentral lists this long non-coding RNA (295 nucleotides) under Salvia miltiorrhiza (redroot sage). RNAcentral's name for it is "long non-coding RNA (SMIL_LNC013114)". The record is from RNAcentral. Lineage: Eukaryota; Viridiplantae; Streptophyta; Magnoliopsida; Lamiales; Lamiaceae.